RNAcentral lists this ribosomal RNA (482 nucleotides) under uncultured bacterium. Its description in RNAcentral is "bacterial SSU rRNA". It matches the Rfam family "Bacterial small subunit ribosomal RNA", at positions 30 to 502 of the family's 1533-position model. The record is from RNAcentral.
AUUGAACGCUGGCGGCAGGCCUAACACAUGCAAGUCGAGCGGAUGAGUGGAGCUUGCUCCAUGAUUCAGCGGCGGACGGGUGAGUAAUGCCUAGGAAUCUGCCUGGUAGUGGGGGACAACGUUUCGAAAGGAACGCUAAUACCGCAUACGUCCUACGGGAGAAAGUGGGGGAUCUUCGGACCUCACGCUAUCAGAUGAGCCUAGGUCGGAUUAGCUAGUUGGUGAGGUAAAGGCUCACCAAGGCGACGAUCCGUAACUGGUCUGAGAGGAUGAUCAGUCACACUGGAACUGAGACACGGUCCAGACUCCUACGGGAGGCAGCAGUGGGGAAUAUUGGACAAUGGGCGAAAGCCUGAUCCAGCCAUGCCGCGUGUGUGAAGAAGGUCUUCGGAUUGUAAAGCACUUUAAGUUGGGUAGGAAGGGGCAGUAAGUUAAUAACCUUGCUGUUUUGACGUUACCAACAGAAUAAGCACCGGCUAACU